AUUAAACGCUGGCGGCAUGCCUUACACAUGCAAGUCGAACGGCAGCACGGGGGCAACCCUGGUGGCGAGUGGCGAACGGGUGAGUAAAGCAUCGGAACGUGCCCUGGAGUGGGGGAUAACGUAGCGAAAGUUACGCUAAUACCGCAUAUUCUGUGAGCAGGAAAGCAGGGGAUCGCAAGACCUUGCGCUCUGGGAGCGGCCGAUGUCGGAUUAGCUAGUUGGUGGGUAAGGCCUACCAAGGCGACGAUCCGUAGCGGGUCUGAGAGGAUGAUCCGCCACACUGGGACUGAGACACGGCCCAGACUCCUACGGGAGGCAGCAGUGGGAAUUUUGGACAAUGGCGAAAGCCUGAUCCAGCCAUGCCGCGUGAGUGAAGAAGG
Molecule: ribosomal RNA, 380 nt
Filed under: uncultured bacterium
Lineage: Bacteria
Description: bacterial SSU rRNA
Rfam family: Bacterial small subunit ribosomal RNA
Source: RNAcentral